This is a long non-coding RNA of Agrilus planipennis (emerald ash borer), 969 nucleotides long. RefSeq lists it as uncharacterized. The transcript has 2 exons. The record is from RefSeq and is a predicted model, not a curated record. NCBI's taxonomy places the organism in Eukaryota, Metazoa, Arthropoda, Insecta, Coleoptera, Buprestidae.
AUAGCAUACAGGGGCACAAGGAGCAGUGGUGGUAAAUUGCCUAUUUUGUUAGGCCUUUGCCCUUUACAAAUGGCAAUAACUAAUAAAAUUAACUAUUCAAGACCACUUCACAUGACUGCUUUAAAAUUAGUUCCAGAUAGGAAGACAACCGAAUUUAAGAAAUCAACGAACUUAAAAGUAUCAAGAAAAACAGUUAUAACUGUUUCAGUAGUUAUAUUGGGCGCGAUUUUAAUUUAUUACUCAAUAUUGUACACCACAUACACCAUAAUUGAAAAAACUGUAGAAAGUACUGAUAAAAAAUGAAUUGUAUUAAAACUUUCACCUUUAUUUAAUCAUUAAUUACUUUUUUCUAUUUCUAUUUAUUGUCUUGACUUAUUCUUGUAAUUUUGAAAUAAUAAUUUGGCGCAAGUUUUGGGACUUCCCAUAAUAUAUUAAACGCACACGAACUCUGUAACGCACUCAGAACGAUAUACCUUGAAUAUAAGAAUAAAAACGAAUGAAUUAAUUUAAAUAUUUAAUAAUAUCUUAGUAUAACAUACAAAUAUUUACAAUAUAUUGCACAGAGCUGUGUGCCACACUGAAAAUCAAUGUGUACAAAAAUAGACUCUGUUUUGUAUACUACAAUAUCAUUUAUAAUGGUAGCAUUAACGAUUUCUCAUGGUAAAAUUAUAAAAAUUAAGUUUAAAUAUCCAAGCAAUUACGAAGAAAAUGCGAAAGAAACUGCUACACAACCAUGCUACAAUAAUUAUUAGAUUUUAAAAUGGUAACACUGCAAAAAUUGAAUCGUAUAACAGACUUUACGAUCUUAUUAUUCUCAUUUGAAUAAUUAAAAACAAAAAGAACAAUUCGUAACAAUUACAUAAAACAAAAACAUUUUCAGUACAACAGCAACUUUUUUUAUUGUCCUCCAGAAUUUAUUUUACAUGAGAAGGCAGCGAAUAAGAGAAUAAACAGGACAAAUGAGAAUAA